CAGCCGUAAACUAUGCUCGCUAGGUGUCAGGCAUGGCGCGACCGCGUCUGGUGCCGCAGGGAAGCCGUGAAGCGAGCCACCUGGGAAGUACGGCCGCAAGGCUGAAACUUAAAGGAAUUGGCGGGGGAGCACAACAACGGGUGGAGCCUGCGGUUUAAUUGGACUCAACGCCGGACAACUCACCGGGAACGACAGCAAUAUGUAGGCCAGGCUGAAGACCUUGCCUGAAUCGCUGAGAGGAGGUGCAUGGCGUAGACGUCCU
This 262-nucleotide ribosomal RNA is filed under the name uncultured archaeon. RNAcentral describes it as "partial 16S ribosomal RNA". It matches the Rfam family "Archaeal small subunit ribosomal RNA", at positions 748 to 1010 of the family's 1478-position model. The record is from RNAcentral.